GAUGAAGAACGUAGUGAAAUGCGAUACGUAAUGUGAAUUGCAGAAUUCAGUGAAUCAUCGAGUCUUUGAACGCACAUUGCGCCCUCUGGUAUUCCGGAGGGCAUGUCUGUCCGAGCGUCAUUGCUGCCCUCAAGCACGGCUUGUGUGUUGGGCUCCGUCCCCCGAUCCCGGGGGACGGGCCCGAAAGGCAGCGGCGGCACCGCGUCCGGUCCUCGAGCGUAUGGGGCUUUGUCACCCGCUCUGUAGGCCCGGCCGGCGCUUGCCGAUCAACCAAAUUUUUAUCCAGGUUGACCUCGGAUCAGGUAGGGAUACCCGCUGAACUUAAGCAUAUCAAUAAGCGGAGGA
This 345-nucleotide unclassified non-coding RNA is filed under the name soil metagenome. RNAcentral describes it as "partial contains 5.8S ribosomal RNA, internal transcribed spacer 2, and large subunit ribosomal RNA". The stretch from base 1 to 120 matches the Rfam family "5.8S ribosomal RNA", at positions 35 to 154 of the family's 154-position model. The record is from RNAcentral.